This 325-nucleotide ribosomal RNA is filed under the name uncultured eukaryote. Its description in RNAcentral is "partial 18S ribosomal RNA". It matches the Rfam family "Eukaryotic small subunit ribosomal RNA", at positions 1470 to 1796 of the family's 1831-position model. The record is from RNAcentral.
CCCUUAGAUGUUCUGGGCCGCACGCGCGCUACACUGAUGCAUUCAACGAGCCUAUCCUUGACCGACAGGUCCGGGUAAUCUUUGAAUCUGCAUUGUGACGGGGAUAGAUUAUUGCAAUUAUUAAUCUUCAACGAGGAAUGCCUAGUAGGCGCAAGUCAUCAGCUUGCGUCGAUUACGUCCCUGCCCUUUGUACACACCGCCCGUCGCUCCUACCGAUUGGGUGUGCUGGUGAAAUGUUCGGAUCGGCCGUUUGUCGCGGUUUCCGCGUCAUGUGGCUGAGAAGUUCAUUAAACCCUCCCACCUAGAGGAAGGAGAAGUCGUAACA